This 591-nucleotide ribosomal RNA is filed under the name Scarelus longicornis. RNAcentral describes it as "partial 16S ribosomal RNA". It matches the Rfam family "Bacterial large subunit ribosomal RNA", at positions 1816 to 2711 of the family's 2925-position model. The record is from RNAcentral. Lineage: Eukaryota; Metazoa; Arthropoda; Insecta; Coleoptera; Lycidae.
CAUGUCUUUUUGAUAAUAAUUUAAAGUUUAAUCUGCUCAAUGAUUUUAAAUAGCCGCAGUAUAUUAACUGUGCAAAGGUAGCGUAAUAAUUAGUUCUUUAAAUGGGAGAUUGUAUGAAUGAUUGGACGAGAAAAUUUCUGUCUUAAGUAAAUUGAUUUUUGAAUUUUAUUUUUAAGUUAAAAAGCUUAAAUAUUUUUAAAAGACGAGAAGACCCUAUAGAGUUUGAUAUUUUAAGUUUUUUUAAUUUUAGAAAUUAAGAAAUUUUUAAUUUAUUUAGUUGGGGUGACUUGAAGAUUAAAAAAAUUCUUCAAAUAAAAAUUAAUGAUAUUUAAAUUUAGAGUUUAUAAGUUAAAAAUAAAUUACCUUAGGGAUAACAGCGUAAUAUUUCUUUAGAGCUCUAAUUUGAAGAAAUUUUUGCGACCUCGAUGUUGGAUUAAAAUUUAUUUUUGGAGUAGUGGCUGAAAAAUUAGGUCUGUUCGACCUUUAAAAUUUUACAUGAUCUGAGUUUAGACCGGCGUGAGCCAGGUUGGAUUCUAUCUUUAUAAAGAUUUUUUAUCUUAGUACGAAAGGACCAGAUAAAGUUUAUAUUUA